This 844-nucleotide ribosomal RNA is filed under the name uncultured bacterium. RNAcentral describes it as "bacterial SSU rRNA". It matches the Rfam family "Bacterial small subunit ribosomal RNA", at positions 9 to 873 of the family's 1533-position model. The record is from RNAcentral.
AGAGUUUGAUCCUGGCUCAGGAUGAACGCUAGCAGAACGCUUAACACAUGCAAGUCGAACGAAUUUGUAGCAAUACAAGUUAGUGGCAAACGGGCGCGUAACACGUAUCUAACCUGCCCUUGAGUGAGGCACAACUACAGAGAUGUAGCUAAUUCCUCAUACGCUCCACAAAAUGAAAAUAUGUGGAGGAAAGAUUUAUCGCUCAAGGAAGGGGAUGCGGCCUAUCAGAUAGUUGGUGAGGUAAUAGCUCACCAAGUCUAUGACGGGUAGCCGGUCUGAGAGGAUGUCCGGCCGCAAUGGAACUGAGAAACGGUCCAUACUCCUACGGGAGGCAGCAGUGGGGAAUAUUGGACAAUGGGCGAAAGCCUGAUCCAGCGAUCCUGCGUGAAGGAUGAAGCCUCGUGGGGUGUAAACUUCUUUUCUGGGGGAAGACGAAUGACGGUACCUCAGGAAUAAGAGACGGCUAACUACGUGCCAGCAGCCGCGGUAAUACGUAGGUCUCGAGCGUUAUCCGGAAUUACUGGGCGUAAAGCGUCUGCAGCCGGGUAUAUAAGUCUGUCUUUAAAUACUCUGAUUCAAUCUGAGAAAAGGGAUAGAUACUGUAUACCUAGAGGAUUUUAGAGGUUAGUGGAAUUUCCGGUGGAGCGGUGAAAUGUGUUGAUAUCGGAAGGAAUGCCGAAAGCGAAAGCAGCUAACUAUAAAAUAUCUGACGGUCAGAGACGAAAGCUUGGUAGCAAACGGGAUUAGAUACCCCGGUAGUCCAAGCCGUAAAUGAUGCUUGCUAGGUGUUUGAUUCGCUUCUGCGGAUUGAGUGCCGAACCUAACGGAUUAAGCAAGCCGCCUG